Branchiostoma belcheri (Belcher's lancelet) is the source of this 904-nucleotide long non-coding RNA. RefSeq lists it as uncharacterized. NCBI's taxonomy places the organism in Eukaryota, Metazoa, Chordata, Leptocardii, Amphioxiformes, Branchiostomatidae. The transcript is spliced from 3 exons. The record is from RefSeq and is a predicted model, not a curated record.
UAGUACGUGACGCGGUAGCUGUACCGUCGCAUUCAGCUGCUCUAGUCCUGUUUCGCCGUGUACUCCAUCGUACCCGAGGCCGACAGACAACUGUGACUAGUACCGUGUGACGAGCCUUGAGCCGUCUGUGUUUGCCGCCCAUGCCAGCCUGUGGCUACCGACGUCGUCGUGCUGGUCGUGCUAACCGUUUGUUACUAGUGCUGCUAUCCGAAGUCAAGGUUCAGCGGUAGCGGUCGCCGCACUUGCAGGGAUUGGAAAGCUGGCCCGAGACAACCGCAAGUGAACCCCCCCAAAACUGGCGCUGCUGGUACCUUGAUAAUGUAUUCAUACUACUAGUACAAUCAAAUUCAAUAUCAAUUGUCUAUGUUUUUAAAAAUAGUGCUUAUGAAUUUUAUUAUUGCUCAUUUGAUGUCUUCUCGCUUCUGCAUUCCAAAACAUGUGUCUUCCCUUAAUUUGCUAUAAUGUUUCGACAGAUGAAUAUUAUGGUAACUACAGAUAAGUAGCAAUGCUGAGAGCGAUCCCUUUAGUGACAAAGAAAUGAUUUAACUUAAAUCUAUUCAGUUCCAGCGUUACUGUUCUAGGUUUUAAGAUGAGUUUCAAAGUGCAUGAAGUGUAUUGUCCUGCUGGACCUCUUGAUGAACUAUUAGAGAGAGGAGAGGCUUCCCUUAGGCAAUAUGGCCUUCACCAGAAUGAACCAAAUGAAGCAAAGGCAGCCGUUAAAAUUGUUAAUUCUUGGUUGAAAUCUAAUGAAACUGUGGUGUUAUUUAGUGGGAUGAAGGUGGCCCAAUCUAAUGAGAAAUAUACAGAAGAGUCUUUUUGGGAAGGUGUCUUUCGUGAAGAACAUUGUUCUAUUGAGUAUUGGGACAGCCUGUUCCUGGACGACAGGAGGUACAGAGAAUUCGAA